GGUUAAGCGACUAAGCGUACACGGUGGAUGCCCUGGCAGUCAGAGGCGAUGAAGGACGUGCUAAUCUGCGAUAAGCGUCGGUAAGGUGAUAUGAACCGUUAUAACCGGCGAUUUCCGAAUGGGGAAACCCAGUGUGAUUCGUCACACUAUCAUUAACUGAAUCCAUAGGUUAAUGAGGCGAACCGGGGGAACUGAAACAUCUAAGUACCCCGAGGAAAAGAAAUCAACCGAGAUUCCCCCAGUAGCGGCGAGCGAACGGGGAGGAGCCCAGAGCCUGAAUCAGUGUGUGUGUUAGUGGAAGCGUCUGGAAAGGCGCGCGAUACAGGGUGACAGCCCCGUACACAAAAAUGCACAUGCUGUGAGCUCGAUGAGUAGGGCGGGACACGUGGUAUCCUGUCUGAAUAUGGGGGGACCAUCCUCCAAGGCUAAAUACUCCUGACUGACCGAUAGUGAACCAGUACCGUGAGGGAAAGGCGAAAAGAACCCCGGCGAGGGGAGUGAAAAAGAACCUGAAACCGUGUACGUACAAGCAGUGGGAGCACAGAGCAAUCUGUGUGACUGCGUACCUUUUGUAUAAUGGGUCAGCGACUUAUAUUCUGUAGCAAGGUUAACCGAAUAGGGGAGCCGAAGGGAAACCGAGUCUUAACUGGGCGUUAAGUUGCAGGGUAUAGACCCGAAACCCGGUGAUCUAGCCAUGGGCAGGUUGAAGGUUGGGUAACACUAACUGGAGGACCGAACCGACUAAUGUUGAAAAAUUAGCGGAUGACUUGUGGCUGGGGGUGAAAGGCCAAUCAAACCGGGAGAUAGCUGGUUCUCCCCGAAAGCUAUUUAGGUAGCGCCUCGUGAAUUCAUCUCCGGGGGUAGAGCACUGUUUCGGCAAGGGGGUCAUCCCGACUUACCAACCCGAUGCAAACUGCGAAUACCGGAGAAUGUUAUCACGGGAGACACACGGCGGGUGCUAACGUCCGUCGUGAAGAGGGAAACAACCCAGACCGCCAGCUAAGGUCCCAAAGUCAUGGUUAAGUGGGAAACGAUGUGGGAAGGCCCAGACAGCCAGGAUGUUGGCUUAGAAGCAGCCAUCAUUUAAAGAAAGCGUAAUAGCUCACUGGUCGAGUCGGCCUGCGCGGAAGAUGUAACGGGGCUAAACCAUGCACCGAAGCUGCGGCAGCGACACUGUGUGUUGUUGGGUAGGGGAGCGUUCUGUAAGCCUGUGAAGGUGUGCUGUGAGGCAUGCUGGAGGUAUCAGAAGUGCGAAUGCUGACAUAAGUAACGAUAAAGCGGGUGAAAAGCCCGCUCGCCGGAAGACCAAGGGUUCCUGUCCAACGUUAAUCGGGGCAGGGUGAGUCGACCCCUAAGGCGAGGCCGAAAGGCGUAGUCGAUGGGAAACAGGUUAAUAUUCCUGUACUUGGUGUUACUGCGAAGGGGGGACGGAGAAGGCUAUGUUGGCCGGGCGACGGUUGUCCCGGUUUAAGCGUGUAGGCUGGUUUUCCAGGCAAAUCCGGAAAAUCAAGGCUGAGGCGUGAUGACGAGGCACUACGGUGCUGAAGCAACAAAUGCCCUGCUUCCAGGAAAAGCCUCUAAGCAUCAGGUAACAUCAAAUCGUACCCCAAACCGACACAGGUGGUCAGGUAGAGAAUACCAAGGCGCUUGAGAGAACUCGGGUGAAGGAACUAGGCAAAAUGGUGCCGUAACUUCGGGAGAAGGCACGCUGAUAUGUAGGUGAAGUCCCUCGCGGAUGGAGCUGAAAUCAGUCGAAGAUACCAGCUGGCUGCAACUGUUUAUUAAAAACACAGCACUGUGCAAACACGAAAGUGGACGUAUACGGUGUGACGCCUGCCCGGUGCCGGAAGGUUAAUUGAUGGGGUCAGCGCAAGCGAAGCUCUUGAUCGAAGCCCCGGUAAACGGCGGCCGUAACUAUAACGGUCCUAAGGUAGCGAAAUUCCUUGUCGGGUAAGUUCCGACCUGCACGAAUGGCGUAAUGAUGGCCAGGCUGUCUCCACCCGAGACUCAGUGAAAUUGAACUCGCUGUGAAGAUGCAGUGUACCCGCGGCAAGACGGAAAGACCCCGUGAACCUUUACUAUAGCUUGACACUGAACAUUGAGCCUUGAUGUGUAGGAUAGGUGGGAGGCUUUGAAGUGUGGACGCCAGUCUGCAUGGAGCCGACCUUGAAAUACCACCCUUUAAUGUUUGAUGUUCUAACGUGGACCCGUGAUCCGGGUUGCGGACAGUGUCUGGUGGGUAGUUUGACUGGGGCGGUCUCCUCCUAAAGAGUAACGGAGGAGCACGAAGGUUGGCUAAUCUUGGUCGGACAUCAGGAGGUUAGUGCAAUGGCAUAAGCCAGCUUGACUGCGAGCGUGACGGCGCGAGCAGGUGCGAAAGCAGGUCAUAGUGAUCCGGUGGUUCUGAAUGGAAGGGCCAUCGCUCAACGGAUAAAAGGUACUCCGGGGAUAACAGGCUGAUACCGCCCAAGAGUUCAUAUCGACGGCGGUGUUUGGCACCUCGAUGUCGGCUCAUCACAUCCUGGGGCUGAAGUAGGUCCCAAGGGUAUGGCUGUUCGCCAUUUAAAGUGGUACGCGAGCUGGGUUUAGAACGUCGUGAGACAGUUCGGUCCCUAUCUGCCGUGGGCGCUGGAGAACUGAGGGGGGCUGCUCCUAGUACGAGAGGACCGGAGUGGACGCAUCACUGGUGUUCGGGUUGUCAUGCCAAUGGCACUGCCCGGUAGCUAAAUGCGGAAGAGAUAAGUGCUGAAAGCAUCUAAGCACGAAACUUGCCCCGAGAUGAGUUCUCCCUGACCCUUUAAGGGUCCUGAAGGAACGUUGAAGACGACGACGUUGAUAGGCCGGGUGUGUAAGCGCAGCGAUGCGUUGAGCUAACCGGUACUAAUGAACCGUGAGGCUUAACCUUACAACGCCGAAGGUGUUUUG
This 2925-nucleotide ribosomal RNA is filed under the name Escherichia coli O157:H7 str. 1125. RNAcentral describes it as "LSU rRNA". It matches the Rfam family "Bacterial large subunit ribosomal RNA". The record is from RNAcentral. Lineage: Bacteria; Pseudomonadati; Pseudomonadota; Gammaproteobacteria; Enterobacterales; Enterobacteriaceae.